Molecule: ribosomal RNA, 258 nt
Filed under: uncultured bacterium
Lineage: Bacteria
Description: partial 16S ribosomal RNA
Rfam family: Bacterial small subunit ribosomal RNA
Source: RNAcentral
UACGUAGGGUGCAAGCGUUUGUCCGGAAUUAUUGGGCGUAAAGAGCUCGUAGGCGGUCUGUCGCGUCGGCUGUGAAAACCCGGGGCUCAACCCCGGGCCUGCAGUCGAUACGGGCAGACUAGAGUGCGGUAGGGGAGACUGGAAUUCCUGGUGUAGCGGUGAAAUGCGCAGAUAUCGGGAGGAACACCGGUGGCGAAGGCGGCGAUCUGGGUCGAUACUGACGCUGAGGUGCGAAAGCGUGGGGAGCAAACAGGGAUU